UUCCUACGGGGGGCUGCAGUCGAGAGGCUUCGGCAAUGGGGGAAACCCUGACCGAGCGACGCCGCGUGAGGGAUGAAGGCCCUUGGGUUGUAAACCUCUUUUGUUCGGGAAGAAGUGCGAUCAGGUGAACAAUCUGGUCGUUUGACGGUACCGGACGAAUAAGCUCCGGCUAACUCCGUGCCAGCAGCCGCGGUAACACGGGGGGAGCAAGCGUUGUUCGGAAUCACUGGGCGUAAAGGGCGUGUAGGCGGUCAGGUAAGUGGGAUGUGAAAUGCCCCGGCUCACCCGGGGACCUGCAUCCCAAACUGCUUGGCUUGAGUAUGGGAGAGGAUGAGGGAAUUCCUGGUGUAGCGGUGAAAUGCGUAGAUAUCAGGAGGAACACCGGUGGCGAAGGCGCUCAUCUGGCCCAAUACUGACGCUGAGGCGCGAAAGCUAGGGGAGCAAACGGGAUUAGAUACCCUUGUAGUCAG
This 470-nucleotide ribosomal RNA is filed under the name uncultured bacterium. Its description in RNAcentral is "bacterial SSU rRNA". It matches the Rfam family "Bacterial small subunit ribosomal RNA", at positions 336 to 799 of the family's 1533-position model. The record is from RNAcentral.